RNAcentral lists this non-coding RNA (21 nucleotides) under Caenorhabditis elegans. Lineage: Eukaryota; Metazoa; Nematoda; Chromadorea; Rhabditida; Rhabditidae. The record is from RNAcentral.
UUUCAACUUAUUCUUCUGACC